This 695-nucleotide long non-coding RNA is filed under the name Brassica rapa (field mustard). RNAcentral describes it as "long non-coding RNA (BRAP_LNC002975)". Lineage: Eukaryota; Viridiplantae; Streptophyta; Magnoliopsida; Brassicales; Brassicaceae. The record is from RNAcentral.
UUUUCAGUUACGACGAAAUAGCGACGAAAUACAAAGGCCCGCGUUUUCGUUAACGACGUUUUUACGACGAAAAGGGUUACGUGGAAUUAACGAGUUAACCAGUUACGAGGAAUUAGCGAUCCUUUAUUUUCUAUAAAUACCCACAACUUUCCUUCUCAAACCACACACACAAACUCACAAAACACACCCUAUCUCAAAUCACACUCCUCACCAAAAUACUUUUCAAAUUAGAAAUAUUUGAAAAAAAAAAGAAGAAAAGAAGAUAUUAGAAUUUAUGUGGGUGAGACUUAAGUCUCACCACAUAUAAUUCCAGUAUCUUUCUUUUUUUCUUUUUUUCUAGUUUUUAUACUAUGAGGAAGUAGCAAGUCCCGCUUUUCACCAAUUUAGAAAAUUUGGAAAAAAAAAAAAAGAGAAGAAGAUAUUUGGAACUCAUGUGGCCGAGACUUACGUAAGUCUCGCCAAAUGUGAUUCAAGCAUCUUUCUUCUCUUUUUUUUUUUAGUAUUUUUAAUAUUUUCGUCGUAAUAUCGUCGUUAGUUUACGACUCUUUUACGACGAUUUUGGCUUACGUGGAAUUACCGUGCCCCGUUUUUUUAAUUUCGUCGUAAAGUCCUCGUGGCCUUACGAGGUGUUUACGACGAAAUCAUCCUACGUGGAAUUAAAGAGUGCCUUCUUCGUCAUUUACUUUACGUGGUAU